Uloborus diversus is the source of this 1977-nucleotide long non-coding RNA. RefSeq lists it as uncharacterized. The record is from RefSeq and is a predicted model, not a curated record. The transcript has 3 exons. Lineage: Eukaryota; Metazoa; Arthropoda; Arachnida; Araneae; Uloboridae.
UGUAAUUAUAGAGGAAUGACUAUUGAAGUAGGGGCAAAGUUUUCCUCAUUUGAAAGCUUACAAGACAAAUUACGGAAGAAGAGAAUUUUGUGCAUUUUGAUGUGCAAGAUUCUGCUAAAUUGACGAGUGAUGUUCAUAUUCGACACGUUAAAAACAUGGAAAUGUCGAAUUGGUGUAUUACAAAUUAAAAUACACCAAUGUUUUUGGCGGACGAGAGUGCCAAAAAAAAGGAAAGAAAACAAAAAUGAAAGGAAAUCUAUAAGUGAGUAUAAGUUUUGUGUGUUGACCAGUACACCGAACUUACAUAUAAGAAAUAUAAUCUAAUUUUCUUACAACUUGCUUCCUCUUUAAAAAAUAAUACUACGUUGCAUGUAUUAGCUGUUUUAUAAGGUUAUAAAUAAAUACACUGCUCAAAAUGUGUCGCAAUUCAUUAAUGACUCUUAAGUUUGCCGAUGAUUGGUUUUAUGAACGUAUUUAGUCACCAAAGAAGAUAUCUAUUGUUUUUGAGACCUCGAUUUGGUGUAUUUUUAAUCAACAUUAAUGUAGCUUUCUGUUUGAUAAUACAUUUAUUGCAUUGACUGACAUUUUUUAUACUAAGAACUCCUACAGCUCAACAGGCAAUUAAAAUAGCAAUAGGUAAUUAUUUUAUACUUAAUGCCAAAUUGCUUCGUGUAAUAUCUUUUCAAUAGUGUUUUACAGCUCUUUUACUGUGUGUUAUUCUUGUUGCACUGUAAUGUUUGUAUUAUAUUCCUGGCUUCUUUUUUCUUUUCAUGGCAAUGCAUUACUGGGCCAGUUUUUGUGAGGCUACUUUUAUCUAAAUAUGGACAGCAUCUUGUCGAGUAGAUGUAAAUAACAGCUAAAUCGUUAGUGAUUUUGACCUGGAGUUUAUGGCGACUAUGACGUUAGGCGACUGCAAUGGUUUGACGCGCAUGAACGAACGAAAAGUACCCAAGGAUAAUUUAUUUAGCCUGAACCUGAAGAGUAACAACUGAAUCAACAGAAGUAUGGAUCUGUAUGAUGUUUCAAGGGUUUUCAUCUGUAAGAGAUUUCAUGGGGUCCCUAACUCUUGAGAAGGCUGUGGUUGCUUCCCGUAACUCAAAGGUUAUAGCCGGUUUUUUCAGGACUUUGAGUACAGUGAUUGAGAGUUAACUGUACUAUGUAGUAUUUUGUCUACACAUCUGAGGAGCAAAAGCUAACUGUGUUAGCUUUUGCUAACUGAGCUGUUAGCGAAAGAUAACAAACAGCUCAGGCUCAUUGAUCUCUUGAAUUUACAGUGAUUGGCAUAGCUAACCUUAAUUAAUUUUUACUGUGUAUUUGUUAAGUAAUUUUUAUACCUUCUGACACCUCUUUACACACCCCUGAUGAAAAAGUGUUACGCAAUUUUACUCCAUAUAGAGAUGUUUGGAGCUUCUUUAGAUCACCUGUUUCUUUCAUGUCUUAAUAUCUCUUACCCCAUCUUUGUUAAUAGCACCCAUAAUUUUUGUAAAAUAGUUUAAAUGAAAAUUCAGAAAGUAAAUUUUUAAGCUCAAUGGAAGACUAAGUAGGAGCAUAUUCUUGAAGAUUUAAAUCUUGGAUCCUCCUUUUUCUAGAUAUUUGCCUAGAAGCUUGUUAAGACAUCUUUAAAGACAUCCUACGUAGAACAUUGAAGGAACAGUGUGAAGCAGGAUAAUGGUAGAACUAACGAGACAUUGGGGCAAAAUAUUGAAAUUAUUCUGUGUAAUUUGUCUGCUUGUCAUCAAAAAAGGGUGGAAGUAUCUGAAGACAUAACAUGCCUCAUAACAAUUCAUUUAAGAGGAAUUGGUUAAUUUUUAAAAGGUUUUUACCAUAUUGUUUGGAGGCUUGCUCCAUUUCCCUUGAUCAAAUCCAAUUUGUUAAACAGAUAUAUUUCUGUUUCAUUCAUGAAGAAAUAAAGAUUUGAUCAUUUGAAUUGGUACCUACUAUGCGUAUAUUUUUGGAAGCUAUAAAUAAAGUUCUUGU